GUGGGUAACCUGCCUGURAGACUGGGAUAACUCCGGGAAACCGGGGCUAAUACCGGAUGCUUGUUUGAACCGCAUGGUUCAGACAUAAAAGGUGGCUUCGGCUACCACUUACAGAUGGACCCGCGGCGCAUUAGCUAGUUGGUGAGGUAACGGCUCACCAAGGCGACGAUGCGUAGCCGACCUGAGAGGGUGAUCGGCCACACUGGGACUGAGACACGGCCCAGACUCCUACGGGAGGCAGCAGUAGGGAAUCUUCCGCAAUGGACGAAAGUCUGACGGAGCAACGCCGCGUGAGUGAUGAAGGUUUUCGGAUCGUAAAGCUCUGUUGUUAGGGAAGAACAAGUGCCGUUCAAAUAGGGCGGCACCUUGACGGUACCUAACCAGAAAGCCACGGCUAACUACGUGCCAGCAGCCGCGGUAAUACGUAGGUGGCAAGCGUUGUCCGGAAUUAUUGGGCGUAAAGGGCUCGCAGGCGGUUUCUUAAGUCUGAUGUGAAAGCCCCCGGCUCAACCGGGGAGGGGUCAUUGGAAACUGGGGAACUUGAGUGCAGAAGAGGAGAGUGGAAUUCCACGUGUAGCGGUGAAAUGCGUAGAGAUGUGGAGGAACACCAGUGGCGAAGGCGACUCUCUGGGUCUGUAACUGACGCUGAGGAGCGAAAGCGUGGGGGAGCGAACAGGAUUAGAUACCCUGGUAGUCCACGCCGUAACGAUGAGUGCUAAGUGUUAGGGGGUUUCCGCCCCUUAGUGCUGCAGCUAACGCAUUAAGCACUCCGCCUGGGGAGUACGGUCGCAAGACUGAAACUCAAAGGRAAUUGACGGGGGCCCGCACAAGCGGUGGA
This 838-nucleotide ribosomal RNA is filed under the name Bacillus amyloliquefaciens. RNAcentral's name for it is "bacterial SSU rRNA". The record is from RNAcentral. Lineage: Bacteria; Bacillati; Bacillota; Bacilli; Caryophanales; Bacillaceae.